CCAGACUCCUACGGGAGGCAGCAGUGGGGAAUAUUGCACAAUGGAGGAAACUCUGAUGCAGUGACACCGCGUAUAGGAAGAAGGUCUUAGGAUUGUAAGCUAUUGUCGUGUGAGAAGAAAAUGACCAUCACAGGAGGAAGCCCUGGCUAAAUAUGUGCCAGCAGCCGCGGUAAUACAUAUGGGGCGAGCGUUAUCCGGAUUUAUUGGGUGUAAAGGGUGCGUAGGCGGGAAAAUAAGUCAGUAUGUGAAAUCCCUCGGCUCAACUGAGGAACUGCAACUGAAACUAUUUUUCUUGAGUGUUGAAGGGGAAAGUGGAAUUCCUAGUGUAGCGGUGAAAUGCGUAGAGAUUAGGAGGAACACCAGUGGCGAAGGCGACUUUCUGGGCAACAACUGACGCUGAGGCACGAAAGUGUGGGGAGCAAACAGGAUUAGAUACCCUGGUAGUCCACACCGUAAACGAUGGAUACUAGGAGUUGGCAAAAAUAUUGUCGGUUCCGCAGUUAACGCAUUAAGUAUCCCACCUGGGGAGUACGACCGCAAGGUUAAAACUCAAAGGAAUUGACGGGGGCCCGCACAAG
This 578-nucleotide ribosomal RNA is filed under the name uncultured bacterium. RNAcentral's name for it is "bacterial SSU rRNA". It matches the Rfam family "Bacterial small subunit ribosomal RNA", at positions 331 to 929 of the family's 1533-position model. The record is from RNAcentral.